Molecule: ribosomal RNA, 468 nt
Filed under: uncultured bacterium
Lineage: Bacteria
Description: partial 16S ribosomal RNA
Rfam family: Bacterial small subunit ribosomal RNA
Source: RNAcentral
GACGAACGCUGGCGGCGUGCUUAACACAUGCAAGUCGAACGGAAAGGCCCUGCUUUUGUGGGGUGCUCGAGUGGCGAACGGGUGAGUAACACGUGAGUAACCUGCCCUUGACUUUGGGAUAACUUCAGGAAACUGGGGCUAAUACCGGAUAGGAGCUCCUGCUGCAUGGUGGGGGUUGGAAAGUUUCGGCGGUUGGGGAUGGACUCGCGGCUUAUCAGCUUGUUGGUGGGGUAGGGGCUUACCAAGGCUUUGACGGGUAGCCGGCCUGAGAGUGUGACCGGCCACAGUGGGACUGAGAUACGGCCCAGACUCCUACGGGAGGCAGCAGUGGGGAAUAUUGCACAAUGGGCGGAAGCCUGAUGCAGCAACGCCGCGUGCGGGAUGACUGCCUUCGGGUUGUAAACCGCUUUCGCCUGUGACGAAGCGUGAGUGACGGUAAUGGGUAAAGAAGCACCGGCUAACUACGUG